AUGUGUUUUAUGAAUUAAUAUAUUGAUGAUUUUUAAUUGUAUGAUUGUUAGUUGCAAACGUAGCACCGGAUACGUCAUCAAAGAAGGGAAAAGAGAAAGUGAACGAAGAUAUCGAUUAAAUUCGAUAAAUAGUGGCUAGGUACGAAAGUAUAAGGACUCAGCAUACAAGCCGAUCCCCAAACUCAAAUUGGCUAGGUACGAAAGUAUAAGGACUCAGCAUACAAGCCGAUCCCCAAACUCAAAUUGGUGAAGUUUCUAUCUUUUUGGAAAAUGGCAUUGUACGUAGGAUGUCUUUUGGUCAUUUUGAAAGUAUCUAAGUUGUUAAGUGAUAUUUUGGUAUGUUUUGUAAAUGUUACCAAAACCUUAAGUAUGGUAUGUUUUGAUAUGUUAGUGAAGAGUAAUAAGAGGAAGUGUUGGUAAAUA
Molecule: long non-coding RNA, 423 nt
Organism: Gossypium arboreum
Lineage: Eukaryota; Viridiplantae; Streptophyta; Magnoliopsida; Malvales; Malvaceae
Exons: 3
Source: RefSeq, a predicted model, not a curated record